CUAGACUCCAAAAAGCUCACAGCCGUCACCCCUCAUAUCAUCUUCAUCUACACACCCUAAAUAAGAAAACCCUAAUCCCCCUGAACAGAAGACCACAGCGGGCGCGCCCCUUGAAAAAUUGAGCGUCGCUGCCCUCCUCCAGCGAAUUCCUCCAUUCCAACGCCCAGCUUCACCCUUGACACCGGCAGACCACCCCAUCUCCACCUCCAUUCUGCCAUUCAAAACCCAACGACUAGACACCACAUCCCAGCCGCCCUGUUCUUCAUCCUUCUUUAGAUAGUCAAAAAGACCAAAUCCUUCCCCACUCUCAUCUCUCCCCUCAUUCUCAAACACACACGCACACACACGAAAACAGAGAGGAGGAGAACGGACGUGAAAACAGGGCAAAAGAUACAGAACAAAAACGGAGAAUGAAGCGGCGAUAAGAACGAGCCUUCUCUACCCUUAACCUAGAGCAUCCGCCAGCUCCUCUCCAAGCCGUCCACCAGCUCCACGCACAGCGCUUCACCACCAAACCAACAAUCACCUUCACCAACUUUAACCAAAAAAGAUACCUAACCCUAGAGAGACAGCAGCAGUCGCAUCUCCAGCCUUCUGCCGCCGACCACCCAUAUCCAGCCAAUCCCUGAACCCUAGAAACCCCCCCCCCCCGGCCUAAUCUUCUUCUCCGACCUGAAGAGAACCCUAGGACACAACACCAGCGACCAUCCCACCAGCCGCCCACACCCUUCACCAUCCAGUCGUCGCUGCUCCCUCAUCACCAUAACUGGCCAGAAUCCGGGGACCACACACACACAUACAAUAGCGAAAAACAGAGGAAGGGAACGGACAAACAAAAAGGGGAAACGGGAAGAGUGACCAAAACAGACAUGGAGCGUUCCCAUGAUUUUCAAGCAAAUUCAACUUCAUGAUCUUCUUCACAGCAAAAGUUUUGUGGAGAUUUCUGGAUUUGGUUUCAAAUUCCCAAGUCGGAUGUUUUAGUUAGUCUACAAUCUCGAAAUUUGGGGACCCGUCCGAAGUUGCUGAUCGUAGAGGUUAUCCGAUCGAAGGUUCCGGCCGCCGAUUCAAUUUGUUUGCCAUGUUUCAAUACGUUUAUUUGAUUUUUGUGAAGAAAUUUUCAGCAGCUUCAAGAGGUAUGGAUCCAUAUACCAGGACUCGAGCAUGACAGAUAUCCCAGGACCACUGCAUUCAGGAGCUGCUUAAAGAUACUUUUAUGUUUUGAAUCUGUCAUUCAUGUUGUCUUUUACUUUCUAGUCUUGUACAGUAAUAUCGAGUCUUUUAUUAUAGUACUUCCCAUUUUGUAUUUGAAAAACCAAAAAAAAAGUUUUAAAUGAAUAAUCCAAAAAGAUUUUUGUUUUUA
This is a long non-coding RNA of Nicotiana attenuata, 1360 nucleotides long. RefSeq lists it as uncharacterized. NCBI's taxonomy places the organism in Eukaryota, Viridiplantae, Streptophyta, Magnoliopsida, Solanales, Solanaceae. The record is from RefSeq and is a predicted model, not a curated record. The transcript is spliced from 2 exons.